RNAcentral lists this RNase P RNA (264 nucleotides) under Deltaproteobacteria bacterium. RNAcentral's name for it is "partial RNase P RNA component class A". It matches the Rfam family "Bacterial RNase P class A", at positions 130 to 367 of the family's 367-position model. From Rfam's summary of the family: Ribonuclease P (RNase P) is a ubiquitous endoribonuclease, found in archaea, bacteria and eukarya as well as chloroplasts and mitochondria. Its best characterised activity is the generation of mature 5'-ends of tRNAs by cleaving the 5'-leader elements of precursor-tRNAs. Cellular RNase Ps are ribonucleoproteins. Lineage: Bacteria; Pseudomonadati; Myxococcota; Myxococcia. The record is from RNAcentral.
CCCGGACCACUGGUCCGGAGCAAGGGUGAAACGGCGAGGUAAGAGCUCGCCAGGCCCGCCCGUGAGGGCGGGCGCUCGGUAAACCCCACCCGGAGCAAGACCGCGUAGGAGGGAGGCCUGGCCUUUUGGCCUGGCGCGGAUGGCCCGUCCGUUCCCUCGGGUCGGUCGCUCGAUCCCCCGGGUAACCGGGGGGCCAGACGAAUGGUUGCUGCUCCCGCGAUCUGGGCGGGAGAACAGAAUCCGGCUUACAGACCUCCUCCGGCG